UACGUAGGCAGCGAGCGUUGUUCGGAGUUACUGGGCGUAAAGGGUGUGUAGGCGGUUCUUUAAGUUUGGCGUGAAAUCUCCCGGCUCAACCGGGAGGGUGCGUCGAAUACUGAGGGACUAGAGUACGGGAGAGGAAAGUGGAAUUCCUGGUGUAGCGGUGAAAUGCGUAGAUAUCUGGAGGAACACCGGUGGCGAAGGCGGCAUCCUGGACCGAGAUUGACGCUGAGGCGCGAAAGCCAGGGGAGCAAACGGG
Molecule: ribosomal RNA, 253 nt
Filed under: uncultured bacterium
Lineage: Bacteria
Description: partial 16S ribosomal RNA
Rfam family: Bacterial small subunit ribosomal RNA
Source: RNAcentral